GAGGAAUAUUGGUCAAUGGGCGAGAGCCUGAACCAGCCAAGUAGCGUGCAGGAUGACGGCCCUCCGGGUUGUAAACUGCUUUUAGUUGGGAAUAAAAAAAGGGGCUUGUCCCUUCUUGUAUGUACCUUCAGAAAAAGGACCGGCUAAUUCCGUGCCAGCAGCCGCGGUAAUACGGAAGGUCCAGGCGUUAUCCGGAUUUAUUGGGUUUAAAGGGAGCGUAGGCGGAUUGUUAAGUCAGCGGUUAAAGGGUGUGGCUCAACCAUGCAUUGCCGUUGAAACUGGCGAUCUUGAGUGCAGACAGGGAUGCCGGAAUUCGUGGUGUAGCGGUGAAAUGCUUAGAUAUCACGAAGAACUCCGAUCGCGAAGGCAGGUGUCCGGGCUGCAACUGACGCUGAGGCUCGAAAGUGUGGGUAUCAAACAGGAUUAGAUACCCUGGUAGUCCACACAGUAAACGAUGUAUACUCGCGGUUUGCGAUAGACAGUAAGCCGCCAAGCGAAAGCAUUAAGUAUACCACCUGGGGAGUACGCCGGCAACGGUG
RNAcentral lists this ribosomal RNA (539 nucleotides) under uncultured bacterium. Its description in RNAcentral is "bacterial SSU rRNA". It matches the Rfam family "Bacterial small subunit ribosomal RNA", at positions 356 to 896 of the family's 1533-position model. The record is from RNAcentral.